Molecule: ribosomal RNA, 450 nt
Filed under: uncultured bacterium
Lineage: Bacteria
Description: partial 16S ribosomal RNA
Rfam family: Bacterial small subunit ribosomal RNA
Source: RNAcentral
CCUACGGGUGGCUGCAGUGAGGAAUAUUGCGCAAUGGAGGCAACUCUGACGCAGCCAUGCCGCGUGCAGGAAGAAGGCGCUACGCGUUGUAAACUGCUUUUAACCGGGAAGAAACCCCAGGACGUGUCCUGGGUUGACGGUCCCGGAGGAAUAAGCACCGGCUAACUUCGUGCCAGCAGCCGCGGUAAUACGAAGGGUGCAGGCGUUAUCCGGAGUCAUGGGGGCGAAGGUGUGCGGUGAAGGGAGUGGUGAAAGCCUACAGCUCAACUGUAGAAUUGCCAUUGAUACUGGCGCUCUUGAGUGCGGUUGAAGUAGGCGGAAUGUGCCGUGUAGCGGUGAAAUGCUUAGAUAUGGCACAGAACACCAAUUGCGAAGGCAGCUUACUAAGGCGAUACUGACACUGAGGCACGAAAGCGUGGGGAUCGAACAGGAUUAGAUACCCGAGUAGUC